UACGUAGGGGGCAAGCGUUGUCCGGAAUUACUGGGCGUAAAGGGCUCGUAGGCGGCCAACUAAGUCGGACGUGAAAUCCCCAGGCUCAACCUGGGAACUGCAUCCGAUACUGGAUGGCUUGAAUUCGGGAGAGGGAUGCAGAAUUCCAGGUGUAGCGGUGAAAUGCGUAGAUAUCUGGAGGAAUACCGGUGGCGAAGGCGGCAUCCUGGACCGACAUUGACGCUGAGGAGCGAAAGCCAGGGGAGCAAACGGG
Molecule: ribosomal RNA, 253 nt
Filed under: uncultured bacterium
Lineage: Bacteria
Description: partial 16S ribosomal RNA
Rfam family: Bacterial small subunit ribosomal RNA
Source: RNAcentral